Nycticebus coucang (slow loris) is the source of this 1613-nucleotide long non-coding RNA. RefSeq lists it as uncharacterized. Lineage: Eukaryota; Metazoa; Chordata; Mammalia; Primates; Lorisidae. The record is from RefSeq and is a predicted model, not a curated record. The transcript is spliced from 4 exons.
GGAAAAGAGAGGGAAGGUGCGGCAUGCUGAACAGUUCCUGAGGGACGCCCUGAGCCCUGUGUGGUCCCUGGGAAUCCCUCCUGGGAGUUUGCUAGAAAUUCAGGACAUCAGGCUCCACCAGACUUGGGAUGAGGGUCUCGAACUACUGAGUUCAAGUGAUUCUCCCGCCUCAGCCUCCCAGAGUGCGAGGAUUACAGGUGUGAGCCACAGCGCCCAGCAUAAAUGCCUGUUUCGUGUUUCCAACCUGUGUCCCUGUCAUCUUCCAAGAGAGGAGACAGUUGUGAGUGCUCUGACACCUUGACGUCAACAGAAGCAGAACAGCAGAUCAUUCCAAAACAGUUCUUAGCUGAGAUUUGAUAAACGGCAGCAUCAUUUUGGGUACAGCUAGGAUGAAGAGAAUACAAUGAAAGUUAUUCUGAGGUUCAGAAGAGAAAAUCAACAUGAAGAGACUUUGCAAAGCAGACUUUAUGCCAGGUGUAUUCUCCCAGAAGGUGGAAGUGCCAAGAUCAAGUUAUCUCUGCUCACGUUGUGCAGAAGAAUCAUCAGAGACCUUUAUUUACAAUUCUUGAAUCACAAUCCUUGCGUUGGGGCCGGGGAAUUUGCUUUAGAAGAACCCAUAGCCAUUCUGAUACAGAUUAUCCUUGAGCCACCCUUGGAGACAUCCUCAACAUCUUUAAUUCAGCUUAGAUCUCUCAGUUAUAGCGGAAUCCUUUUAGCUGAAGACAAGCAACUAUAGCUACAGUUUCAUAUCACUCACAUCGAGCCUUUUACAACCCCUUACGUGAAUCUUUUCAAUUAAUUCUCAGCGAUUUGGCCUCUGUUGAGAGCUGACAGGGAGCUUAAAAGAAUUCUAUGCACUACUGGGAAAUUUCAAGUAACUCUGAUUUCCUGACCUAUCCAGCCCAUGAGGCCUCUGCCAGAGAAACCAACUAUCUUGAAGGUGCCAUGACUUAUGCAGAAGAAAAAGAAAGGAAGAGGAAAAAAACGGCUGAGAGGCACAAAAGGCCAGGUAAGAAAGCAGGGAAAGAGGUGAUCAUCAAGAAUCAAGGACUCGGGGAGGCCAAGGCGGGAAGAUCACUUGAGCUUAGGUGUUUGAGAUCAGCCUGAACAAGAGAGAGCACCCAUCUCUACUCAAAAAUAGAAAAAUUGGGCUGGGUGCAGUGGUUCAUGCCUAUAAUCCCACCACUCUGGGAGCCAACACAGGAGGAUUGUUUGAGUUCAGGAGUUCAAGACCAGCCUGAGCAAGAGUGAGACCGUGUCUCUAAAAAAAUACCCAGGCAUUGUGGCAGGCACCUGUAGUCCCAGCUACUUGGGAGGCUAAGGCAAGAGGAUGACUUGAACCCAAGAAUUUGAGGUUGCUGUGAGCUAUGAUGCCAUAACACUCUACAGAGGACAACAAGGUGAUACUGUCCAAAGGAAAAAAAAAUAAAAAGAUAGAGAAAAAUUAUCCAGGUGUGGUGGAGUCUUCUGUAGUCCUAGCUACUUUGGAGGCUAAGGUAGGAGAAUUGCUUGAGCCCAGGAGUUGAAGAUACAAUGCGCUAUUGUCUCUCCAGCCAAGCGGGGGAGACACAGCAAGACUGUCUCCAAAAGGGAAAACAAGAAUCAAGGAGAGA